This is a long non-coding RNA of Fopius arisanus, 330 nucleotides long. RefSeq lists it as uncharacterized. The record is from RefSeq and is a predicted model, not a curated record. The transcript is spliced from 2 exons. NCBI's taxonomy places the organism in Eukaryota, Metazoa, Arthropoda, Insecta, Hymenoptera, Braconidae.
AAAAACAAAAAUAUUCAUGUCCUGACGUACGAACAAAUGAUGAUAUAGCAACCACCAAGAUCUCUGAACGCCGUGAUUAAUAUAUUUGCUAUUCUGAGUCAAGUCCCACCCACAUUGGCCAAUCACCUGACGAAUGGCCACCCUAACACCUCAAUUUACGUUCCAGAUGCAGCUGCAGGGCGUUGGGCUAUUGCAUCACUGGACUUUCCUGAUUACCUCACCAGGUUCAAGGAUGUGGUCGAGGUGAUCCAGACGUUGGAAAAAUUCAACAUGAAUUACAAGAGUUGACUGUAUUAUUUAAUUUUAAUAAACGAAAUAAUGCCUUCACAA